This 254-nucleotide ribosomal RNA is filed under the name uncultured bacterium. RNAcentral describes it as "partial 16S ribosomal RNA". It matches the Rfam family "Bacterial small subunit ribosomal RNA", at positions 524 to 776 of the family's 1533-position model. The record is from RNAcentral.
UACAGAGGGUGCGAGCGUUGUUCGGAAUUACUGGGCGUAAAGCGCGCGCAGGCGGCCUUUUAAGUCUGACGGUGAAAUGCCGGGGCUCAACCCCGUGCCCGCCGGAGAUACUGGGAGGCUGGAGACGAGUAGAGGCAAGCGGAAUUCCGGGUGUAGCGGUGGAAUGCGUAGAGAUCCGGAAGAACACCGGAGGCGAAGGCAGCUUGCUGGGCUCGGUCUGACGCUGAGGCGCGAAAGCGUGGGGAGCGAACAGG